GAUGAAGAACGCAGCGAAAUGCGAUAAGUAAUGUGAAUUGCAGAAUUCAGUGUAUCAUCGAAUCUUUGAACGCACAUUGCGCCCGUCAGUAUUCUGGCGGGCAUGCCUGUUCGAGCGUCAUUACGCCCCUCAAGUCCCCUGUGGACUUGGUGUUGGGGAUCGGCGAGGCUGGUUUUCCAGCACAGCCGUCCCUUAAAUUAAUUGGCGGUCUCGCCGUGGCCCUCCUCUGCGCAGUAGUAAAACACUCGCAACAGGAGCCCGGCGCGGUCCACUGCCGUAAAACCCCCCAACUUUUUAUAGUUGACCUCGAAUCAGGUAGGACUACCCGCUGAACUUAAGCAUAUCAAUAAGCGGAGGA
This 358-nucleotide unclassified non-coding RNA is filed under the name soil metagenome. RNAcentral's name for it is "partial contains 5.8S ribosomal RNA, internal transcribed spacer 2, and large subunit ribosomal RNA". The stretch from base 1 to 120 matches the Rfam family "5.8S ribosomal RNA", at positions 35 to 154 of the family's 154-position model. The record is from RNAcentral.